Molecule: non-coding RNA, 34 nt
Organism: Aedes aegypti (yellow fever mosquito)
Lineage: Eukaryota; Metazoa; Arthropoda; Insecta; Diptera; Culicidae
Source: Rfam
AGGUGUUUUGCUUCAACAUUGUUUGAACGACCGU